AUGGAGUCAGAUCUGCUCAUCAGACAGGAGGAAGUUGGAGCCGAAAGAGGAGAUGAUUUUCGCAGCAGGUGUUGGGAGAUAUUUAAUUGGGAUGUCUUUGAUCCUGAUGAAUUACUUCCGAGGCGACAAGCAGUGAAAGGAAAAUUGGAUGAGCAAAAAAUCAAUGGUCGACCAAAGGAGGUAAAGAAUCAAGAUCAACAAAAAGCACCAAUAAUGAAAAUUGGCAUGUCUUCCAUUUACCUUACGGCAUGUUGGAGGGCUCCAGAUUCGGACGCGUGCUACAUCUGUGGACAGGACGGUCACUAUGAGCAGUCUUGCCAUUACAAUUAUAUCUAUGGGCGAUAUGGGUUAUAUGACCAACACACUUGUAGAGCAAACUGCCUUCCUGGACCACACACAAUGGCCAUGGCUUGUCGGAACUCUUUGCAGAGUUUCAUACGCGUGAAUAACAUGCCAUCACGCUUCUGUACGUGGGACCUUCGGAAGCUUUUGGAACCAUUCGGACCGCUGCUGAUGUGCCACGUUCCAAUGGGCAGUUCUGAAGUGCGCAGGGGAUAUGGGGUUGUGAUCUUCAAGGAUCGUGGGGAUGGGGAGAGGGCAAUCGAAGCGCUCAAUGGCUAUCUCGUAGGCAAAAGUAAACUGCGAGUUGACUGGGCUUAUGCAAUGGCCCCCGGCGGUAGACCAAGGGAGAAAUGCAAUAUCUCGAAGACAAAGAGGGUUUUCAAGAGCCGGCCUCCGCUGCAAGGGCCGGGGAAACAGCGAGCUCUUGGUUUUCUCUUACCCAAGUUUUGGAGAUUCUACCCCUCCUGUAAUACGCUCUUGCUUAGGAAGAGUAACAACACAGUGCCGAUCAAUGGGGCAGGGGAGGAACGACAAAAAAUGAACGUGGAAAGUAGUGGUGCCAUCAAAACCAGUUGGAGGGAUCCCGACGCUAAAUCCUGCUGGAUCUGCGGAGACGAGGAGCGAGGGCACUCGGAGCCGACGUGCCCUUACAACUACCUAUCUCCCGCCUCAUACGCUCCCUGCAGGACACGGCUGCUCCUCUGGCAACACGAAACCAGUCGCGCAUGUCCGAGGCCUAAAGAUCUCGAUGCGACCAGCUUAAGGCGACUCAAGUUUCUGCGGUGCUUCGUGCGCGUGAAUAACCUGCCGAGGCAUUGUUGCCCGGAGAAGCUUGUCGGCCUGUUCGUCCGGUUCGGGCCGCUGCAGAGCUGGCAUGUCGCCUUUGCUGAUCAUGGCUCCGGUGCCUGCAGCGGCUUCGGCUACAUGGUCUUCCGGCACCGUGCGCAUGCGGAGGAAGCCAUUGACGUGCUCAAUUGCUGCGUCUUUAGUGACCGUAAGCUGCGAGUCGACUGGGCUUAUCCUUGCGCGUAG
RNAcentral lists this ribosomal RNA (1374 nucleotides) under Triticum aestivum (bread wheat). Its description in RNAcentral is "partial small subunit ribosomal RNA". Lineage: Eukaryota; Viridiplantae; Streptophyta; Magnoliopsida; Poales; Poaceae. The record is from RNAcentral.